This 468-nucleotide ribosomal RNA is filed under the name uncultured bacterium. RNAcentral's name for it is "partial 16S ribosomal RNA". It matches the Rfam family "Bacterial small subunit ribosomal RNA", at positions 28 to 507 of the family's 1533-position model. The record is from RNAcentral.
GACGAACGCUGGCGGCGUGCUUAACACAUGCAAGUCGAACGGAAAGGCCCUGCUUUUGUGGGGUGCUCGAGUGGCGAACGGGUGAGUAACACGUGAGUAACCUGCCCUUGACUUUGGGAUAACUUCAGGAAACUGGGGCUAAUACCGGAUAGGAGCUCCUGCUGCAUGGGGGGGGUUGGGAAGGUUCUGCGGUUGGGGAUGGACUCGCGGCUUAUCAGCUUGUUGGUGGGGUAGUGGCUUACCAAGGCUUUGACGGGUAGCCGGCCUGAGAGGGUGACCGGCCACAUUGGGACUGAGAUACGGCCCAGACUCCUACGGGAGGCAGCAGUGGGGAAUAUUGCACAAUGGGCGGAAGCCUGAUGCAGCAACGCCGCGUGCGGGAUGACGGCCUUCGGGUUGUAAACCGCUUUCGCCUGUGAAGAAGCGAGAGUGACGGUAACGGGUAAAGAAGCACCGGCUAACUACGUG